Molecule: ribosomal RNA, 459 nt
Filed under: uncultured Solibacillus sp.
Lineage: Bacteria; Bacillati; Bacillota; Bacilli; Caryophanales; Caryophanaceae
Description: partial 16S ribosomal RNA
Rfam family: Bacterial small subunit ribosomal RNA
Source: RNAcentral
ACGGGAGGCAGCAGUAGGGAAUCUUCCACAAUGGACGAAAGUCUGAUGGAGCAACGCCGCGUGAGUGAUGAAGGAUUUCGGUUCGUAAAACUCUGUUGUAAGGGAAGAACAAGUAGCGUAGUAACUGGCGCUACCUUGACGGUACCUUAUUAGAAAGCCACGGCUAACUACGUGCCAGCAGCCGCGGUAAUACGUAGGUGGCAAGCGUUGUCCGGAAUUAUUGGACGUAAAGCGCGCGCAGGUGGUUUCUUAAGUCAGGUGUGAAAGCCCCCGGCUCAACCGGGGAGGGUCAUUGGAAACUGGGAGGCUUGAGUGCAGAAGAGGAUAGUGGAAUUCCAAGUGUAGCGGUGAAAUGCGUAGAGAUUUGGAGGAACACCAGUGGCGAAGGCGACUAUCUGGUCUGUAACUGACACUGAGGCGCGAAAGCGUGGGGAGCAAACAGGAUUAGAUACCCUGGUA